GUCACCAUGGCCGAGUGGUUAAGGCGAGAGACUUGAAAUCUCUUGGGGUAUCCCCGCGCAGGUUCGAACCCUGCUGGUGACG
Non-coding RNA from Baffinella frigidus, 82 nucleotides. The record is from the annotation of a GenBank genome assembly. Lineage: Eukaryota; Cryptophyceae; Cryptomonadales; Baffinellaceae.